CAGUCGCCACGGUAAUACGUAGGUGGCAAGCGUUGUCCGGAAUUAUUGGGCGUAAAGCGCGCGCAGGCGGAUCGGUCAGUCUGUCUUAAAAGUUCGGGGCUUAACCCCGUGAUGGGAUGGAAACUGCCAAUCUAGAGUAUCGGAGAGGAAAGUGGAAUUCCUAGUGUAGCGGUGAAAUGCGUAGAUAUUAGGAAGAACACCAGUGGCGAAGGCGACUUUCUGGACGAAAACUGACGCUGAGGCGCGAAAGCCAGGGGAGCGAACGGGAUUAGAUACCCCAGUAGUCCCUGUCUCUUAUACA
Molecule: ribosomal RNA, 301 nt
Filed under: uncultured bacterium
Lineage: Bacteria
Description: partial 16S ribosomal RNA
Rfam family: Bacterial small subunit ribosomal RNA
Source: RNAcentral